RNAcentral lists this long non-coding RNA (800 nucleotides) under Ovis aries (sheep). Its description in RNAcentral is "lncRNA (ENSOARG00000027047.1)". Lineage: Eukaryota; Metazoa; Chordata; Mammalia; Artiodactyla; Bovidae. The record is from RNAcentral.
CAAUUUUCAAAAUGAAGAGAAAUAUUGAGAGAUGAAGAGAAUGAAUGAAAGUAACACACAAAAAUGAAAAAAAAAAAACUUCAAAAUGAAAGCAAAAAUGCCUUGUUCUAGAAACAAGUCAGCAGGAUGGUUUUAUGGUUGAGAAGCAAGUAGAGGAGGGGAAAGGAAGAACGUGGAUAACGCCUGAAUAGAAUCCUUCAGGAAAAUGAGUGCCAAGAAGUGACAGAAUGACCCUCAAAAUUAUGGGAGACGGUGUUGUUCUGUUUAUAGGCCAGCAGAGAAGCCAGAGGUAGGGGAGCUCUGUGAAGACCGCUGCAGUCACCCGGCGGCAACGACCAGUCUUUGGGCUUCUUCCCUGUGUGUGUUUCCCAGUUACCAGCACAAUAACCAACGAGGCGCUCUUGCCCCUCACAUCAAGGCUUGCAUUUCUGCCCUGUUUUAAAUGUGUCUUUUCAGUAAAACAAGAUCUCUUUUCUUUCACAUGCUCUGUUCCAGCAGUGAUAUUUACUGUAGAAUCUCAAAUGCAAUUACCAAAUUCAAAUAAGAGAACAGAUUAAUCAAAAGCAGGGAUGGAGGGGACUCGGCGUGGGCCGUGGUCACGUGCUGGGAGGAUGCGCUGUGUGGUUCCUUGGCAACAGCAGCUCAUCCCUAAGUCUGUCUCCAGGCCCGGAACGUUGAGAAAGCUUUCUCUGUACGCGGUUUCCAAGGCGCUUCUCCUAUCAUAUCCCAGGCUCUCAUUCCAGCUGCAUAGUCAGAAGCCCGACGUCCUAGGGCUUCAAGCUUCACAGGCAAUAAAAUAG